UUUCCGUAGGUGAACCUGCGGUAGGAUCAUUGUC
This 34-nucleotide ribosomal RNA is filed under the name Ficus subcuneata. RNAcentral's name for it is "partial 18S ribosomal RNA". Lineage: Eukaryota; Viridiplantae; Streptophyta; Magnoliopsida; Rosales; Moraceae. The record is from RNAcentral.